GAACGGGAAGAUCCACGUGGGCUACAAGGAUCUGAUGGAGAACUACCAGAUCGUCGUCAGCAACCUGGCCACUGAGCGUGGCCAGAAGGACACCAACCUGGUCCUCAACCUCUUCCAGUCACUGCUAGAUGAGUUCACCCGUGGCUACACCAAGAACGACUUCGAGCCAGUGAAGCAGAGCAAAGCUCAGAAGAAGAAGCGGAAGCAGGAGCGCGCUGUGAGUAGGCUGCACGUAGAUGAGAGUCCGAGCAGGCGAACAUUGGCAGGAGCAUGCACGUGUGUGUCAGUGUCAAUGUGCGCAUGGGCCCGUCUGCACGCGUAUGUGUGCAUGGACACGUGUGAGUGUGUUUUUCCCCCAGCAUAUACGGAGCCGUAGUCUUGAAUAAGCAGACCCACCGCUGAGAUCCCGUGGGCCGUCAUCCACCAGUGGCUGGGGAGGGCUGCCUUCCCCUUUCCCCACCCAGCGCCCUCCUCUGGCCUCACAGGUCCAGGAGCACAACGGGCACGUGUUCGCCAGCUACCAGGUUAGCAUCCCACAGUCGUGUGAGCAGUGCCUCUCCUAUAUCUGGCUCAUGGACAAGGCCCUGCUCUGCAGCGUGUGCAAGAUGACCUGCCACAAGAAGUGCGUGCACAAGAUUCAGAGCCACUGCUCCUACAUCUACGGGAGGAAGGGCGAGCCAGGCGCUGAGCCAGGCCACUUCGGCGUGUGCGUGGACAGCCUGACCAGCGACAAGGCCUCAGUGCCCAUCGUGCUGGAGAAGCUCCUGGAACACGUGGAGAUGCACGGCCUGUACACCGAGGGCCUCUACCGCAAGUCGGGCGCUGCCAACCGCACUCGGGAGCUCCGGCAGGCGCUGCAGACAGACCCCACAGCAGUCAAGCUGGAGAACUUCCCCAUCCACGCCAUCACAGGGGUGCUGAAGCAGUGGCUGCGGGAGCUGCCCGAGCCCCUCAUGACCUUCGCACAGUAUGGUGA
RNAcentral lists this small RNA (976 nucleotides) under Pongo abelii (Sumatran orangutan). RNAcentral's name for it is "retained intron". Lineage: Eukaryota; Metazoa; Chordata; Mammalia; Primates; Hominidae. The record is from RNAcentral.